This 434-nucleotide ribosomal RNA is filed under the name Vannella simplex. Its description in RNAcentral is "SSU rRNA". It matches the Rfam family "Eukaryotic small subunit ribosomal RNA", at positions 1228 to 1680 of the family's 1831-position model. The record is from RNAcentral. Lineage: Eukaryota; Discosea; Flabellinia; Vannellidae.
ACCAGGUCCAGACAUUAGAAGGAUUGACAGAUUGAUAGCUCUUUCAUGAUUUGAUGGGUGGUGGUGCAUGGCCGUUCUUAGUUGGUGGAGUGAUUUGUCUGGUUAAUUCCGAUAACGAACGAGACCUUUACCAUACUAACUAGUUAUAURUAUWCUUUUGUAUAUAUAGAUGAACUUCUUAGAGGGACUAUUGGUUUACAAACCAAAGGAAGUAAAGGCGAUAACAGGUCUGUGAUGCCCUUAGAUGUUCUGGGCUGCACGCGCGCUACAAUGAUARAAUCAUCAAGUAAUUUUACGAUAUGCUUACRCUGGAAGGUGUGGCUAAUCUUCAAGUYCUAUCGUGCUUGGGAUAGAUGAUUGCAAUUAUUCAUCUCAAACCAGGAAUUCCUAGUAAUCGUAGCUCAUCAGGCUGCGAUGAUUACGUCCCUGCCCCU